RNAcentral lists this ribosomal RNA (385 nucleotides) under uncultured eukaryote. RNAcentral describes it as "partial 18S ribosomal RNA". It matches the Rfam family "Eukaryotic small subunit ribosomal RNA", at positions 592 to 976 of the family's 1831-position model. The record is from RNAcentral.
CAGUAGCGUAUAUUAAAGCUGCUGCAGUUAAAAAGCUCGUAGUCGGAUUUCUGGCUUGGGCGGGCGGUCCGUCGCAAGGCGUGUACUGCUCGCGUCCCGGCCAGUCUACCGGUUUGUGUCUCGCGGUGCUCUUCACUGAGUGCCGCAAGCGGCCGGAACGUUUACUUUGAGAAAAUUGGAGUGUUCAAAGCAGGCACAACCGCCUGAACAGCUCAGCAUGGAAUAAUGGAAGAGGACCUCGGGUCUAUUUCGUUGGUCUCUAGACAAGAGGUAAUGAUCAAAAGGGACAGACGGGGGCAUUCGUACUGCGGUGUGAGAGGUGAAAUUCUUGGAUCGCCGCAAGACGCCCAAAAGCGAAAGCAUUUGCCAAGAAUGUCUUCAUUGA